Molecule: ribosomal RNA, 327 nt
Filed under: Dermacentor marginatus
Lineage: Eukaryota; Metazoa; Arthropoda; Arachnida; Ixodida; Ixodidae
Description: partial 16S ribosomal RNA
Source: RNAcentral
GCUCAAUGAUUUUUUAAAUUGCUGUGGUAUUUUGACUAUACAAAGGUAUUGUAAUAAGAUUUUAAUUGAAUGCUAAAAGAAUGGAAUUACAGGGAAAAGUUUUUUUAAAUUUAAUAAUAAAAGUUAUUUUAAUUUGUGAAGAAACAAUUAUGAAAAUUAAAGACAAGAAGACCCUAAGAAUUUAUGAAUUUUUAAUUAUGUAUAUGUAAAUUAUUUAUGCAAAUAAAAUUCUUAGUUGGGGCAACUAAAAAAUAUAUAAAACUUUUUAUUAUUUAAAAUGAUCCAUUAUUAAUGAUUAUAUGGAAAAAAUACUCUAGGGAUAACAGC